This 492-nucleotide ribosomal RNA is filed under the name uncultured bacterium. RNAcentral describes it as "partial 16S ribosomal RNA". It matches the Rfam family "Bacterial small subunit ribosomal RNA", at positions 29 to 507 of the family's 1533-position model. The record is from RNAcentral.
AGUGAACGCUGGCGGUAGGCCUAACACAUGCAAGUCGAACGGCAGCACAGUAAGAGCUUGCUCUUACGGGUGGCGAGUGGCGGACGGGUGAGGAAUACAUCGGAAUCUACUUUUUCGUGGGGGAUAACGUAGGGAAACUUACGCUAAUACCGCAUACGACCUACGGGUGAAAGCAGGGGAUCUUCGGACCUUGCGCGAUUGAAUGAGCCGAUGUCGGAUUAGCUAGUUGGCGGGGUAAAGGCCCACCAAGGCGACGAUCCGUAGCUGGUCUGAGAGGAUGAUCAGCCACACUGGAACUGAGACACGGUCCAGACACCUACGGGAGGCAGCAGUGGGGAAUAUUGGACAAUGGGCGCAAGCCUGAUCCAGCCAUACCGCGUGGGUGAAGAAGGCCUUCGGGUUGUAAAGCCCUUUUGUUGGGAAAGAAAAGCAGCAGGUUAAUACCCCGCUGUUCUGACGGUACCCAAAGAAUAAGCACCGGCUAACUUCGUG